UGCCAGCCGCCGCGGUAAUACGGAGGGGGCUAGCGUUGUUCGGAAUUAUUGGGCGUAAAGGGCGCGUAGGCGGUUUGGUAAGUCAGUCGUGAAAUCCCUCGGCUCAACUGAGGAACUGCGAUUGAUACUGCCAAACUUGAGUCCCGGAGAGGGUAGUGGAAUUCCCAGUGUAGCGGUGAAAUGCGUAGAUAUUGGGAGGAACACCAGUGGCGAAGGCGGCUACCUGGACGGGUACUGACGCUGAGGCGCGAAAGCGUGGGGAGCAAACAGGAUUAGAUA
Molecule: ribosomal RNA, 279 nt
Filed under: uncultured bacterium
Lineage: Bacteria
Description: partial 16S ribosomal RNA
Rfam family: Bacterial small subunit ribosomal RNA
Source: RNAcentral